Long non-coding RNA from Suricata suricatta (meerkat), 1424 nucleotides. RefSeq lists it as uncharacterized. Lineage: Eukaryota; Metazoa; Chordata; Mammalia; Carnivora; Herpestidae. The record is from RefSeq and is a predicted model, not a curated record. The transcript is spliced from 3 exons.
CCGCGAGGCCAUUGGCGCCGAGCGCAGCCCCGCGAGCCCCCGGGGGAGAGGCCGGGGGAACGCGCCCCGACGGGCGAGCGGGGACCGGAGCUGGGGGAUUAGGGCAGCCGGUAGCGAGGCCGAACCACUCUCUCCACGAUGCCCUAUGUAAACCAGAGCGUCAACUGCUGACGAAUCAGCUCCAAACGCCCCCAAAGUGAGCAAACUCCCGCGCGCUUGGCGUUUGCUGGGCUGAAACGCCGCCUUAACCGAGCGCGGGUUGCGAGUCCUUGAGCUGAGAGCGCGGCACGUCGGCCCUCCUCAGAAGGUCAAGCUGCUGAUCCUCGAAGUCGUACGGCAGGGCCAGAGUCCACUUUUGCCCCUUCCGAAACGGCAGUUUUAACAGACGUCGGGGCCCCCAGGAGACGUAGGUGCAAUCACAUGCGAAUGUAGCAGAGGAAGAAAGGCGCAUUGAUGUUGUUCUGGGUUCCACGUUAUCUUCACCAUAUGUGAAGAUAAACCGGAAGAAACAAAGGAAAGGCGAAGGCACGUGGUGAGAAGCAGCUGGGCUUGGGCAGAAGAUUCACCUGCCCUUGGCCGUCAGCGCGUGCUUUGAUGUAAGAAGUGAAGAGGCUGCGCGGACCCAGGCUUUCAGAGAAAAUGAGGGCAUUAGAACUCCAGGAAUCUUCACUGCUUCACACUGGAUGAAAACAAGCGUGUGACAGUCACAAGGCUGUGGGAGGACCGGUAUGGACCGCAUACAACCGGCCGGCUGACUGUUCUUCACGCUCAAGGACAGCACAUAAAAUUUUGGGCACGGGACAGCCCAGCGGCGCUUCUGGGAACUCGCACGCUUCUUGUAAAGAUCCUAAACCUGAUAACUGAGCAGAAAAUCAAUCAUUUUCUCUCCGCUUUCAUGGGGAAGCCUUGAAGUGAGAUUAUGUUUCCUCUGCAAAAUUAUUUGAUCAGGAUAUGUUUUAAUGAAAGGAGCUAUAAAGCUAAUUUUUGACACAGAAGCACCUGUGGAAAUUUGGAAAAUUGCAAUCAUUUUGUCUCAGUCAAGAUCAGUGGUUUACUUUAACUCAAGUGGCACACAUCCAUCUUUAACUCAAGUGAAAGUCUUAUCUCCAGAAAUGUUACCUCUUAGAUGUUCUGUUCAUGAAUCUUCCACUUUAAGGCGGAUGUAUCCUUCAAUGCCUUGCCCGUCUUAUACGAAGGUUGUGGUACAGAAAUGUGUUUGGGCUUUGUCCCCCCGUCCCUGGCACAGAACUCCUAAACCCCUUGGAAUUUCCCGAGUGACUGAAGUGUCCUUCAUUAUUCAUAAACUGGGACAGAAUCUCCUCUGCUCAGGACCUUCUGGACCUCACUCUCGUGUACCUCUUCAUCUGACUGUCCACCAGAAUCCUUUAGAUAUGCCUUAUAAUAAAUUGAUAAAUGAAAAUCAA